RNAcentral lists this ribosomal RNA (492 nucleotides) under uncultured bacterium. Its description in RNAcentral is "partial 16S ribosomal RNA". It matches the Rfam family "Bacterial small subunit ribosomal RNA", at positions 29 to 507 of the family's 1533-position model. The record is from RNAcentral.
AGUGAACGCUGGCGGUAGGCCUAACACAUGCAAGUCGAACGGCAGCACAGUAAGAGCUUGCUCUUACGGGUGGCGAGUGGCGGACGGGUGAGGAAUACAUCGGAAUCUACUUUUUCGUGGGGGAUAACGUAGGGAAACUUACGCUAAUACCGCAUACGACCUACGGGUGAAAGCAGGGGAUCUUCGGACCUUGCGCGAUUGAAUGAGCCGAUGUCGGAUUAGCUAGUUGGCGGGGUAAAGGCCCACCAAGGCGACGAUCCGUAGCUGGUCUGAGAGGAGGAUCAGCCACACUGGAACUGAGACACGGUCCAGAGUCCUACGGGAGGCAGCAGUGGGGAAUAUUGGACAAUGGGCGCAAGCCUGAUCCAGCCAUACCGCGUGGGUGAAGAAGGCCGUCGGGUUGGAAAGCCCUUUUGUUGGGAAAGAAAAGCAGCAGGUUAAUACCCCGCUGUUCUGACGGUACCCAAAGAAUAAGCACCGGCUAACUUCGUG